AUCGAACGCUGGCGGCGUGGCUAAAACAUGCAAGUCGAACGCGAAAGUUCCCUUCGGGGAGCGAGUAGAGUGGCGAAAGGGCGAGUAAUGCAUGGGUAACGUACCCUGAACACUGGGAUAGCUGUGGGAAACCGCAGGUAAGACCAGAAAGACCACAGUGUCAUAUGACACAGCGGUCAAAGGACGGGGAUCCCGACUUCGGUCGGGACCUGUCGGUUUGGGAGCGGCCCAUGUCUCAUCAGCUAGUUGGUGUGGUAACGGCGCACCAAGGCUACGACGAGUACCGGGGCUGAGAGGUCGACCCGGCGCACUGGGACUGAGACACUGCCCAGACUCCUACGGGAGGCUGCAGUAACGAAUAUUCCGCAAUGGGCGAAAGCCUGACGGAGCGACGUCGCGUGUGGGAGUAAGCUCUUCGGAGUGUAAACCACUGUCAGGGAUUACCAAGCAAAGGUGGCUAAUACCUGCCUGCGCUGAGGAGUCCCAAAGGAAGUCACGGCUAACUUCGUGCCAGCAGCCGCGGUAAUACGAAGGUGGCAAGCGUUGUUCGGAAUCACUGGGCUUAAAGAGUAUGUAGGCGGCCAAUCAAGCGUCUUGUGAAAUCCCUCGGCUCAACCGAGGAAUUGCUUGGCGAACUGACUGGCUUGAGGCAGGUAGGGGCGUGUGGAACUCUUGGUGGAGCGGUGAAAUGCGUAGAUAUCAAGAGGAACGCCAGAGGCGAAAGCGAUGCGCUGGGCCUGUCCUGACGCUGAGAUACGAAAGCCAGGGGAGCGAACGGGAUUAGAUACCCCGGUAGUCCUGGCCCUAAACGAUGUCCACUAGGUUGGAGCUUCUCUGACGGACUUCCGGCCGGGGCAAAAGUGUUAAGUGGACCGCCUGGGGAGACGGUCGCAAGGCU
This 898-nucleotide ribosomal RNA is filed under the name uncultured Planctomycetota bacterium. RNAcentral describes it as "bacterial SSU rRNA". It matches the Rfam family "Bacterial small subunit ribosomal RNA", at positions 28 to 895 of the family's 1533-position model. Lineage: Bacteria; Pseudomonadati; Planctomycetota. The record is from RNAcentral.